This 23-nucleotide microRNA is filed under the name Equus caballus (horse). RNAcentral's name for it is "eca-miR-9081". Lineage: Eukaryota; Metazoa; Chordata; Mammalia; Perissodactyla; Equidae. The record is from miRBase by way of RNAcentral.
UUAGACAAUACUGAUGCCUGGGC